RNAcentral lists this ribosomal RNA (496 nucleotides) under uncultured bacterium. RNAcentral's name for it is "partial 16S ribosomal RNA". It matches the Rfam family "Bacterial small subunit ribosomal RNA", at positions 28 to 506 of the family's 1533-position model. The record is from RNAcentral.
GAUGAACGCUGGCGGCGUGCCUAAUACAUGCAAGUCGAGCGAACAGACGAGGAGCUUACUCCUCUGACGUUAGCGGCGGACGGGUGAGUAACACGUGGAUAACCUACCUAUAAGACUGGGAUAACUUCGGGAAACCGGAGCUAAUACCGGAUAACAUGUUGAACCGCAUGGUUCAACAGUGAAAGACGGUCUUGCUGUCACUUAUAGAUGGAUCCGCGUCGCAUUAGCUAGUUGGUAAGGUAACGGCUUACCAAGGCAACGAUGCGUAGCCGACCUGAGAGGGUGAUCGGCCACACUGGAACUGAGACACGGUCCAGACUCCUACGGGAGGCAGCAGUAGGGAAUCUUCCGCAGUGGGCGAAAGCCUGACGGAGCAACGCCGCGUGAGUGAAGAAGGUCUUCGGAUCGUAAAACUCUGUUAUUAGGGAAGAACAAAUGUGUAAGUAACUAUGCACGUCUUGACGGUACCUAAGCAGAAAGCCACGGCUAACUACGU